RNAcentral lists this long non-coding RNA (1537 nucleotides) under Gadus morhua (Atlantic cod). RNAcentral describes it as "lncRNA (ENSGMOG00000036260.1)". Lineage: Eukaryota; Metazoa; Chordata; Actinopteri; Gadiformes; Gadidae. The record is from RNAcentral.
GCCUGAAAACCUUUGUCAUCCGGUGUUUGGUUUGGUGUGUGUGAGUGAGUGAGUGUGUGUUUUCAUUUGUUCUUUUUCGCAGUAGAGGAAGAGAGCGGUGGGUGAGUGUGUUGCCGUGCGAGGAGGCUGGCUGUGAGCGGAUUCAGGAGGUCCCUCCUGAUCCACAUCAAAGCCCCCGGGAUCCUUGUGACUCUCCAGGUCCAGCGCUGGGCCUCCCCUCCACAUCAAAGGCUCUUUGUGGAGAUGUGGGCCUGAGUGUAACUGAUUGGCUUCACAUGCUCUAUAUCGGCUGGGGCCAAUGCCCUGUAAUCCCCCCUCCCCCAGCCUGCCCCCAGGGAUGUGUAAUCUGGACCGGUGAUCUCUGCGGCCUCCCGGGUCAGUGUGGCAGCCAGCAUGAAACCCUGCGUUGGUUUGUGUUAUUUCCUUUACAGUGAAAUGUUUUGAAACGUUCAUCCCUCUCGGUUCUACCUCACGUAACCUUGUUUGCGUUUCCUUCGUUGCACGGUUUCCUCCAUAAGCCUCACUCGUUACAUCUUUACGUGGAUUUGAGCCGUCUGCGUUGCCACUACCCCAUGCCGGGUCACCUCUCUGUACAAGUUCAACUUUUGGUUUUGGCCUCUCCCCUCAUAUCCCCUCAUCUCUUGUCUUUUCAUAUUACUGUUUCUAUGAUAGAGACAACCUCAUAGUUCGAUUGAUUUCUUGAAUUUCCACACACAAAGAAUACACAAAUACGGAAAGACACACACAAAAUCAUACAAUGAAUACAUUUGGAUGCAUAGAACAUGUAUUUAAAAAUAUUGGCAUAUGUUGACCGUUGAAAUGGCAAACAAAGUCUGAAGAAGCAAACCAAAACACACACACAAAGUCUCUCUCUCUCACACUUUUUCUCAUUCUCCAAGUUCGAUGUUCGAAAAAAAGGGUUUGUGCCAAUGUUUGUGUUAUACAAAUAUAUGACAUGCAAAUAAUGUUGCAUGGAGAGGGAUGACGUUGCCAUGGAAAUCUUGGGCCGUGUUUAUCUUGUGUGAAUCAAUGAUGUUGUUUUUCUAGUUGUCCCAUGUGUGUUUGACCCAGUGACACCUAAAGAGAUCAUGAAUAUUCACACUCAUACACGUGCAUGUGCACACACACACACACACACACACACACACACACACACACACACACACACACACACACACACACACACACACAAACACUGUUGUAAUACUUCCAUCCGACUGACGCAGUGAGCUGCACAAAUGGAGUCGUUGUGUCAUGCCCCCACGUCCCCACAGUCCUCUCAUGCUCUGAAUGCUCUCUGUGUGUGAGCCCCUCGGUCUGUCCGUCUGAUGUUGCCUUGACACCGUGCUCGGGACUCCGCAGGGCCUGAUCUUCUCCUUAUCUCCUCCAUCUUGUGUUGGUAUCAUCCUCCAUCACCCACCCUGGAUCCGCCGCGCCCGUUCCUUUGCCUUCUGUCGAAAGCACACCGGCUUUCUCUUCGUCUGAUAUGAAUUUAGUCACCGCACACACAUUCCCAUGCCCAGAGACAACCACAGAC